Molecule: long non-coding RNA, 841 nt
Organism: Lutra lutra (Eurasian river otter)
Lineage: Eukaryota; Metazoa; Chordata; Mammalia; Carnivora; Mustelidae
Exons: 3
Source: RefSeq, a predicted model, not a curated record
CCAUUCUGACUGAUGGCACAGCUGUCAGAGGCCAGGCCUCCCAUCAGGCCUCUCAAAGGACUUCCAGGACAGAGAGUCUGAUCUGCUGCUCAGCCGCAGGCAGUCUCUGGGCGGACACAGCUGAUGGCCAUUUGCUUCCGGUGGAGAGGAGAGGCACAAUGCUCCUGGAGAAGCCAGGCCAUAAGCUUUUCUUUGGGCUCUGGGCUCAGGCUGAGCAGGGACCAGGGGACUGCACAGACAGGGUUCAGGAUCCAGAGAUAACCCCACUAUGCCCUGGCUCUCUGUAUGAAGCAGAGGCUGGGCCAAGACGGCCAAAGCUUAAAACAGUGACAGACUUCAACACACUCGCCUGAAAAGGGAGACGGUUGACACGGGAGUCUACUGGAAAGGCUGUCGGGAGGUUAUGUCGAGAUAACCGACACCAACUGUCCGGCACGGGCGGGAGCUUAAGAAACAGAGACCCACUAUGGGCCCGGUGCUGUGGCUGGACAAUAAAGACGCAGAGAGGACAGACAUAGCGGACCACAAGAACUCUCAGUUCCAGUGGUUAAGAUGCAGGGUUUGACUUUGGGCUCUUCUUUCUCAUCUAAACACUUGAACUCCCAUGCCCAGGUGAGGAUCUCUUCCUCCUCCAGCUGAAUGGUCCCCCGGAGUAACUCCUUCCUGAAUGUCUCUGCCUCCAUGUUUCAUCCUGAGGUGCUGCUCACAUGGCCCCCACCCCAAAUGUGGAUUAGAUGCACCUCCUGGGGCUCCUGGAUGGCUCAGUGGGUUGGGCCUCUGCCUUCAGCUCUGGUCAUGAUCUCAGGGUCCUUGGAUCGAGCCCUGCGCAUCUGGCUCUCUG